RNAcentral lists this ribosomal RNA (600 nucleotides) under uncultured archaeon. RNAcentral's name for it is "bacterial SSU rRNA". It matches the Rfam family "Archaeal small subunit ribosomal RNA", at positions 161 to 764 of the family's 1478-position model. The record is from RNAcentral.
UCAUAGUGCCUGGAAUGGCUUAUGGUCCAAACAGUUUACUGCCAUGGGAUGGGACUGCGGCCUAUCAGCUUGUUGGUGAGGUAAUGGCCCACCAAGGCGAUUACAGGUACGGGCUCUGAGAGGAGAAGCCCGGAGAUGGGUACUGAGACACGGACCCAGGCCCUAUGGGGCGCAGCAGGCGAGAAACCUUAGCAAUGUGCGAAAGCACGACUGGGUCAGUCCGAGUGAUUCCUGAUAAAGGAGUCUUUUGCCUGUCCUAAAAGCACAGGUGAAUAAGGGGUGGGCAAGUCUGGUGUCAGCCGCCGCGGUAAUACCAGCACCUCGAGUGGUCAGGACGUUUAUUGGGCCUAAAGCAUCCGUAGCCGGCUCUGCAAGUCUUCGGUUAAAUCCACCUGCUCAACAGAUGGGCCGCUGGAGAUACUACAGAGCUAGGGAGUGGGAGAGGCAGACGGUAUUCAGUGGGUAGGGGUAAAAUCCUCUGAUCCAUUGAGGACCACCAGUGGCGAAGGCGGUCUGCCAGACACGUUCGACGGUGAGGGAUGAAAGCUGGGGGAGCAAACCGGAUUAGAUACCCGGGUAGUCCCAGCUGUAAACGAUGCA